This 122-nucleotide ribosomal RNA is filed under the name Haematobia irritans (horn fly). Its description in RNAcentral is "5.8S ribosomal RNA". It matches the Rfam family "5.8S ribosomal RNA", at positions 1 to 124 of the family's 154-position model. From Rfam's summary of the family: 5.8S ribosomal RNA (5.8S rRNA) is a component of the large subunit of the eukaryotic ribosome. It is transcribed by RNA polymerase I as part of the 45S precursor that also contains 18S and 28S rRNA. RNAcentral also lists the same sequence under 1 other name. The record is from RNAcentral. Lineage: Eukaryota; Metazoa; Arthropoda; Insecta; Diptera; Muscidae.
CACUCUAAGCGGUGGAUCACUUGGCUCAUGGGUCGAUGAAGAACGCAGCAAACUGUGCGUCAUCGUGUGAACUGCAGGACACAUGAACAUCGACAUUUUGAACGCAUAUCGCAGUCCAUGCU